UUUUUUUCUUUUAAUAUAUCAGAGCUCUAUUGGGGAAAAGAAGAAGAAAUGUGUAUUUCUUUUCAUCUUCUCAAGACAAAUUUAAGUAAACAGAAGAAAUUUUCAUUUUUAGUGAUAAGUUUUGUUUCCUUGCAAGUUGGAAAAAAAUCAUUCUAAUUUCAGGGUGACUCUUUGUGACAGUGAACCCUGCGAGCCCCUGACAGUGUUCUUCGCUUUGUCACAGAGUGUAGGGGGUCCCCCAGCGCCAAGCACCCCAGCGUCAACCUGAUCAUCCUGGGAAGGACUUGAGCUCUUUCAGUUUGGAGGGCUGUUAUUUCAAUAUGUUUCUUUUCCUUUUUGUUUUAGUUCAUGUGGAGCUGAAAUACGCCUUAUUUUGCACAAAAGACUGCCAACGACAUGAUCAGCAGCUGGCUACAGCCUCGAUUUAUAUUUCUUUUUGUGGUGAUCUGAUUUUUUUUUUUUAAACCAAAGUUUAGAAAGAGCUGUUUGAAAUGCCUAGGGUUCUUCUAAUGGUGAACUUGAGCAUCUUUCUACUUUCCAGUCAUCAGUGAAACACGGUGUGGUUUUUCCCGUUGCUUCCUAUAAAAAUCCUUGUAAACUGCAGCGCAGCGCGGCGGGACCUCACACUGUCCUGGAACUCUGCCUCUGCUUCAUGCCGCAGUGACUGUGUUGCUUCUGUCGAUGAACACUUCUUCCCCCGUCUCUGAAAUGAGCGCAGGCUGGUCGGGGACGGGACCCCUGCACUCUGGUGUCUGGAUAUCCUCACGCACCACCUGGAGCUUACGUCUUUGAAGCAAGGGCCUGGGUUCCUCUACCAAGACGUUUCUUAUCUUCAAGUGACCUGCAUUGCUUGGGAACUAGUGGAGAGAAUAAGAUAGAGUCUUAUUUGUAAAAAACCAUGACCAAGGAUGUUCUGGGGAACUCUGGGAACCUCUAAAGGCGGGUAUUUCUGACCCUCAUUGUCAGCAGCUCCCUGAACACACAGCCUUUCUUGGUGGCCCCGCAGGGCAGGGGGGGCGGCGGGGCAGCAAGAGUCAGUCCCUUGUUUUCAGAGGCAUCACGAAUAAUAGCACGAUUCUUCGAUGACCAUAGAGAAUAGUGUUUUCCAUUCAACAAUUCAAGACCAAGUUGAUUUUUGAAGGUUAGCUCCUUAAAGGUGAAGGAGAUUUAUUUUCAUCUCUUGCCUCUGUCCUCCUUGGCACAAUGUAAACAUAACAUCCUAAUUUUAUCUAGCCAAGAAAGAGGAAUGGCUUGUUGGGGAGCCCAGGGAGGACCCUGGGAGCACACAGAAUGCCCGUGCUUGCUGCACUGGGACGCAUCCUGCUUUUCUUUCUAACUCACACAUAUAUGCAGAGAAAACACGUUCUUCAUGACCUGUUAACAUUGUAUACGUCAUAGUCCAGAUAUGCUAGGACCUACACUAGAUAAUCCUAGAUGAGAUGUUAGCGAUGCUAGAGAACAUAACUACGGCCAUGACCGAGGAAAGAGCCUGCGCAGGGCCAGUGCCCCAAGGCCAGCCCUCGAGCUUGGCGGCGUGGGUGCUGAGGGGGCCCGCACCACCGCCGGCCUCCGGGGUGGACACACACUGCGCACAGCCCUCCUGGAGAACACAAAGGGGUCUCGAGACAUUCUGCCUACCUAUUAGCUUUUCUUUAUUUUUUUAAGUUUUUGAAGAAAAAAAGUAUUUUUGAAAAGUUCGUCUUGCAAUGUAUUUAUAAAUAGUAAAUAAAGUUUUUACCAUAAAGAAGUCCCUCACCCCUUGUUAGUGACUGGCUCUGCAUUGCAGGUUACUAAUGAAAUCAUCCGGAGGGGGUGGGCUGUUCCAGGGGCACUAAAAGGCUUCGUAAACCAACACCUUUGCCUGCUUCCACCUCCCGCAAGAGAACCCGAGGAGACAGCCCGGAGGCCUCCACUGGCCCCGUGGAGGCGCUGGGUCAUGUCUGCUGUGAGCCUUGAGUUCCAGGAGUUCAGGUGUUGACCCCGGUCCCAUCACAGGAGUGGGCAGGUGGGAGCAGAUCAGUAGACGCACCUCGUGACUGGCCCUCUUUUCCUUUAGGUUUUGUCCCCCGUUGUCCUAUCUGUCACCACUCAGGGAAGGCUUCGUGUCCGAGGGGGACAGGUGUGAAACACGUGCAGGAGGAUUCAGCGCCACUUCCCGGCCUGAGACCCUCUCGCUCCACCUCUGUUUGGAAUAGGAGAGAGACCCCAGGAGAUGCUCAGGGAGCGGGGGUCCGUUCUGGGGGCUCAGUCCCCUCUCUGCUGCCUUGGGACAAUUACCC
This 2279-nucleotide long non-coding RNA is filed under the name Equus asinus (donkey). Its description in RNAcentral is "lncRNA (ENSEASG00005031588.1)". The record is from RNAcentral. Lineage: Eukaryota; Metazoa; Chordata; Mammalia; Perissodactyla; Equidae.